UACGAAGGGGGCUAGCGUUGCUCGGAAUUACUGGGCGUAAAGCGCACGUAGGCGGAUCUUUUAAGUCAGGGGUGAAAUCCUGGAGCUCAACUCCAGAACUGCCUUUGAUACUGAGGACCUUGAGUUCGGGAGAGGUGAGUGGAACUGCGAGUGUAGAGGUGAAAAUUGUAGAUAUUCGCAAAGAACACCCAGUGGCGAAGGCGGCUCACUGGCCCGAUACUG
Molecule: ribosomal RNA, 222 nt
Filed under: uncultured bacterium
Lineage: Bacteria
Description: partial 16S ribosomal RNA
Rfam family: Bacterial small subunit ribosomal RNA
Source: RNAcentral